Molecule: long non-coding RNA, 6000 nt
Organism: Orcinus orca (killer whale)
Lineage: Eukaryota; Metazoa; Chordata; Mammalia; Artiodactyla; Delphinidae
Exons: 11
Source: RefSeq, a predicted model, not a curated record
UAUUUAUUUUACAAUUGUUGCUUUAUCAAUAAUUUAAUCGGUAAAGAAAUGUAGAAGUGAAUGAAGAAAAAGUGGGCUGAGCCUGGACCAAUGAUGACCACUGGUAGUGUAUGAGUCAUGGAUGGUGAAUACUAUGUGUCCAGAACUCUGAGGUCCAACACAAUAGGAGACCUAGUCUAUUUCCUCUGUUGGAAAUUGCCAUACUCACAGAUGUUAGUAAUAUACAAGGAUUGUGUUCUUGGUUUUUGUGUUCAAGAACUUUGAUUUUAUUAGUAUAAACAGAUAAAUGAAAGAGUCACUCAAUAUAAACAAAUAAAUAUGAAUAAGUGAAGCACUGUAAAUUAUGAAAGUUAAUAAAUCCCUAAGAGGCUGAAUAGCUGAAAUGUGGAGAGCAAAGUCAAUGCAGAUAAGGUCUCAAUUUUUAAAAAUCACCUUCUGUGCUUUGUACUUCUCAGCAUGGAUACAUUGGAGCUGAUUUAAGGAUUCAUCUAAGGUCACAAGAUGUCUGGUUGUCUCUGUGUUUGGCACAUAGAAACGAAUGUGAGUUUUUAUGGGUAAACACUCUAUUUGAAAAGUAUGAAUAUAAGCAAAGAAUGCCAGACAUGGUCCAUUGAUUAAUAAUGCAGCAUUAUAUUGAUUCAUCCCUAUAUGAAACUUUGAGGGUGAUUAAUGAAAGAGAUAUAUGAGUGUAGUAAACGAUUCUAUAGACAGAAGUUAAACGAUUCAAGGCCUAUGUUCUAGGUUUUUUGUGCUUCAUAGGUAUCCAUUUUAUUCCUAUUAGAGAAUUUGUUGAAUUAAUUACUAAACAAAGGUAGAUGAGAGUGGGGAAGAAAAGGGGCCAAGCCUGGAGCAAUGAUGACCACUGGUGGCAUACGCAUCGUGGAUGAUGAAUAUGUGUCUGGAACUCUGAGGUCCAACAUAAAAAAGAAAUCUAGUUUAUUGCCUCUGUUGGAAAUGAUCCUAUAGACAGAUUUAGGAUUUAUUUUAUAAAGCUCAUGCUCAGGGGUCUUUGUGUUUAUGGAUUUUGAUUCUAUUAUAAUAAAUGAAUCAAUAAAGAAUCAAUGUACAGAUGUAAAUAAAUAAGAUGAAGAGGGUGAAGCGUCGUCCAAUUAUGAAGAAAUUUAAGGCUAGAGAUAAUAUUAAUAAAUAUGGAAACACUAAGUCAGUUAAGAAAUAAAUGGUUCAAGGGUGUUUCCUCUAGCUAAGGAUGUUAUAGAUAAUAUAAAUAACGGCCAGUAUUUACUCUGGGUUAGUAGAAAGUUCAAUGUGGUUUGUUUUCUUAGGAAAAAGUUAUAUAUUACCCAAUUCAUAUAUAACAUAAUCACUGAAAAUUAAAUGUAGAUACAAAGAUCAGUAGAGGAAACAUCUCAAUCAUGUUAUCAUCUACUCUGCAUUCUGUGCUUUAGAAUGGACACGCUUUAGCUGAUUUAAACAUAUGUCUUGGUCAACAGUCUCUGAAUUUGCCUGUACAUGGAAACCAAUGUGAGUAAUAGUCAGUGGUCUCAUCUUACUGUGGGUAGUUUGUUUAGGGUAUUCUUUGAAAUAUUAAAAAAAAUAUUCACUAUAAGAAAAAAUAAUAACCAUGGUCCAGUGAUUAAAUUGGAAAUGUAUGAAUCAUUCUGUUGAUUAAUCCAUCUUUAGAAUGAUGAGGGUGAUUAAUGAAAGAAGUGUACUCAAUUAGGCAGUGGUUCUAAAGAAAAUUAUAAAGAUACUGAAGGCUCUUGUCCUUGAGCUUUUGUGACUCAUAGAUAUUUAUUUAAUUACCAUCAGUAAAUUGAUAAAUUAAUCACUAAACAGAAGUAGAUGGGAGGAAGAAAAAGAGUCGCAAAACUGGACCAAUGAUGACAUCUGGUGGCGUAGGAGUCAUAUACGAUGAAUACCAUGUGUCUGGAAGUCUGAGGUCCAACACAAAACAAAAUCUAGUCUGUUUCCUGUCUUGCAAAUCAUCCCUAUAAACAAGGAUAUUGUUCUUCUAAUUUUGGAUCCAUGAAUUUCUAUGUUAUUAAUAUAAAAAGAUCAAUGAUAUAACCAAUAAACAAAGUAUAACUAAAUAAAAACAAGAAUGAAGCCUUAUCAACCAUGAGUAUAUGUGGUGAGGCAAGAAGUACUAUUAAUAUAAAUUGAAGAAACUGAUGCAUAUUAAUAAAUGGAUGGACCAAGGGUGUUAGCUCUUUUUCUAAGGAUCAUGUCAUUAUAUUCAUAUUUAUGCUUAUGUAUGUGUAUAAAUCAUGGAAAAUAAUAAAUACCUUUGUGGCUGAGUAAAUGAAAUGAGGAAAACAAGGACCAAUUUAGAGAAAGUCUCAAUUUUUUUCUAUCAUCUGCUCUGCUCUGUACUCCUCAGAACGGAUGGACGCUAGUGGAUUUAAGCAUCUUUCAUGGUCACGUGCUCUAUAGACCAAUGUGAGUAAUGCAGUAAGCAAAUUCAUGUCUUUGAGAGCUUCUCUUUUUCCUCAAAUAUUCACUGUAUUGUUAGAAGUGUGGAAUAGAAUUAAUAUUAGUAAUAAUGAGUUAAUCAAUGAACUUAUGCAGAUGAGAAUGAAGAAAUAGAGGCCCAUGUAUGGACCAAUGAUGAUGACUGAUAUCAUAUGAGUUAUGGAUGAUGAAUACUACAUGUCUGAAACUCAGGUUCAGUAAAUAAAAGAAAUAUAAUCUGUUGCCUCUAUUUGGUAUUACACCAUAGACAAAUAUUAGGAAAAUAAAAGAGCAAUUUUCUUGUUUUGUGUUCAUGAAUUUUGAUUUUACUUUAAAAAAAUAGCCCAAAGAAAUAAGUGUAAGUAUAAAUGAGUUAAGAUGAAGAGGUUGAAGCAUAUUCACUCUUAAUAUAUGUGGUAAGGCAAUAAAAACUAUUAAUAUUGAUUGAAAAUACUGAAGUUCAUUUGGAAAUGUAAAUGGUGCAAAUGUCAUACCUCUUUGGCUAAGAAUGAUCUAGAAAAUGAAUAACAGUCAAAGUUCUUAUUCUAUGGUAGUACCAGGUUUGAUAUUGUUCUUUUUUCUAAGAGAAAAAUAAGAAAUAUGACCUGAAUUUAUGAUAUUCCUAAAUGACUGACUAGAUGAAGGUGGAAUGUGUGGAUCAAUAACGAGUAUCUCAAUGUUGUUAUUAUCUCUCCUGCUUUUUACGACUCAGAAUGAGUACACUGGAACCUAUUUAUGUAUUUGGCCAUGAUCAGGACCUCCAUGGAUGGCCUUGUGUGUAAGAGCAUGAAGACCAAUGUGAAGAACAGAUUCCUCUCAUGGUUUAGGUGGUUUGUAUAGGAUAUUCAGUGUAAUACUAAAAAUUAUUAAAUAUAUUCAAAGAUGGCCAAACAUGGCUUAAUGAUUACCAUGGAAUUGACAUGAAACUUUGUGUUGAUUAAUCGAUAUUUCCCACAAUGAGGAUGAUUAUUGAAAUAAGUACAUUCCAUGAGGCAAAAGAUUCUAUAGGCAGAAGUUAGUAUUUAAGAUCUGGUCCUUGAGUUUUUUGACUCACAGAUAUUUAUUUUAUUAUUAUUAAUGAAUUAAUAAAGUGAUCAGUAAACAAAUGUCGAUGAGAAUAAAGAAAAAGAGUCUAAGCUUGGACCAUGAUGAUGACUGAUGGCAUAUGAGUCGUAUAUGAUGAAUACUGUGUGUCUGAAACUCUGAGGUCCAGCAAAAGAAAUCUAGUCCAUUUCCUCCGUUGGAAGUGUUCCUAUAGACAGAUGUCAGGAAUAUAUAGGGACCUUGUUUUAUUCUUUGUGGUUCACGAGUUUUAAAAAAUAUUAUUAUAAAAUGUUACUGGCCGAAUAAACAAGUAUAUAAGUGACUAAAGAUGAAGAGGGUUAAGUACUGUUCAUUACUUAAAUACAUAGUAAAGAGAAAUAAUAUUAAUAUAAGUUAGAAUGGAUAAUUAACAGAUCAAGUAUAUUAUGCAUUUUUGAGUAAGGAUGAUAUAGACAGUGAUAUGUAAUAGUCAGUUAUUGAUCUGAGUCUAUUGCAAGCUUGAUGUUUGUUUUAUUAAGGAAAAAACAAAUAAAUAUUACCAUAAAUUAAUAAAUACCUAAAUGACUAUGUAUAUGAAUGGUGGAAAGUAUGGAUCAAUGGAGAGAAUAUCAAACUUUUUAUCACCUGCUCUGCUUGGUACUAUUCAGAAUUGAUGCCCCAGCUGAUUUCAGCUUCUGCUGUGAUCAAGAUUGUCCUAUUGCCUCUGUAUUAGAAAGAGACAAAGAAUGGACCAGUCGAGCUGAUUGGAAAAUUCUCUCGUGGUCACGUUCUCUGGUUGUCUCCACGUCUUUGGUGUGUAGAGACCAAUAAAGAGGACCCUGAACUCAGGAGCUCAUGGGAGCAUCUCUGUGUAGGAGCAUUAAGUCCAGUAAACGACACACUCAAGCUGAUUCAAGCAUUUUCUAUGUUUUCCUCUGUGUGUUAAGAGCCUAGAGAUGAAUAAUGGAUGCAUGCUGGUGGGUUUAAGCAUCUUGCACGGUCCUGUGCUCUAUAGACCAAUAAUGGAUGCACCUGUAUUGGUUAAGCAUUGACCAUGAUCAGGAACUCUGCUGGUUGUCCUGUGUAUAAGUACAUGUGGUCCAUAAUGGAUCUUCCAAGCUGAUUAAGAUCGUCAUGUUGCUCCCGUGUCAGGAAAGAGACAAAGAUGCAGAAAUUAAUGAAGAAAAAGAGAAACAUAUACCGGUAAUGACAACUGGUGGCAUAUGAGUUAUAAACAAUGAAUACUACGUGUCUGGAACUCCGGGCUCCAACACAAAACAUAAUUAGUUGAAUCUCUCUUUUGGAAAUGAUCCAGUAGACCAGCGGUCCCCAACAUUUUUGGCACCAGGGACCGGUUUCGUGGAAGACAAUUUUUCCACGGAUGGCACGGAGGGAGAUGGUUCAUGCGGCAAUGCGAGCGAUGGAGAGCAGCGAUGGGGAGCGGCAGACGAAGCUUCGCUCGCUCGCCCGCUGCUCACCUCCUGCUGUGCAGCCCGGUUCCUAACAGGCCUUGGACCAGCACCGGUCCGCAGUCUGGGGGUCGGAGACCCCUGCAGCAGACAGAUGUCAGAAAUAUACAAAUAUUGUGUUCUUAUUUUGAGUUCAUAGAUUUAGAUUUAUUAUUACUAGUGGCUUGACGGUAGAAUAAAAUAGAAGUAAAUAGAUAAAGAAGAAUGUUAAGCAUUGUCCAACUAUGAACAUAUGUGGUGAGGCAAGAAAUAUUACUCAUAAAAAUUAAAGAAGACACUGCUGCCUCCUAAGAAAUGAAUGAAUCAAGGAUGUUACCUUUGUGGCUAAGAAUCACGUAGGCUGAUGAAUAAGAGUCAGUUUUAUUUACUGGAUCAGUUUCAAGUUUGAGAGAGUUUCCUUUGUUAAGAGAAAAGAAAAUCCAUAUCAUGAAAAAUAUAUAAAUACCUAAAUGACUGAGUAACUGGACGGUGGAAAGCAGGGAUCAAUGGAAAUAAGGUCUCAAUUAUCUUUAUCAUCUGCUCUGCUCUGUAGGCCUCAGAAUGGACACACCUGAGCUGAUUUAAGCAUCUUCCAUGGGUACCAGGUCUAUGGUUGCACCCGUGUGUUAGGAGCAUACAGACCAAUGUUUUCCCUACACAUUCCUUAAUUGAUAACGAUGUAAGCUAUUUUCAUUAUGAGGACGGAGCACAUAGGAUACAAUGAAUGAACUGAACUGAUGUAAGCCUUUUGCCCUGGCUGUGAAUUCUGUAUUAGGAGCAAAGAGACCAAUGUACGUGGGGAGUUUCAUGCCUUUUUGGAGGUCUGAGGUCUUCUGCCAGCAUUCAGUAGGUGUUCUGUAGAAGUUGUUCCACGUGUAGAUGUAUUUCUGAUGUAUUUGUGGGGAGGAAGGUGAUCUCCACAUCUUACUCUUCCACCAUCUUGAAGCUCUUCUCUCUGGCAAGUAUUUUAGUAGCAAUUGACCUAUGUUGAAUGUUCAUGAAUAAUUUUUUCACUUAUACCAAACACUGAGCCUUCAUUUUACUUGGCCUUGUCAUAUUUUUGUUUUAUGUACUAAAUUUACUUGAGUUGUAUUAAAAAAAUAAAAGAAAUAAUUGG